Molecule: ribosomal RNA, 1421 nt
Filed under: Staphylococcus chromogenes
Lineage: Bacteria; Bacillati; Bacillota; Bacilli; Caryophanales; Staphylococcaceae
Description: bacterial SSU rRNA
Rfam family: Bacterial small subunit ribosomal RNA
Source: RNAcentral
AACAUGCAAGUCGAGCGAACUGACGAGGAGCUUGCUCCUUUGACGUUAGCGGCGGACGGGUGAGUAACACGUGGGUAACCUACCUAUAAGACUGGAAUAACUCCGGGAAACCGGGGCUAAUGCCGGAUAACAUAUCGAACCGCAUGGUUCGAUAGUGAAAGACGGUCUUGCUGUCACUUAUAGAUGGACCCGCGCCGUAUUAGCUAGUUGGUGAGGUAACGGCUCACCAAGGCAACGAUACGUAGCCGACCUGAGAGGGUGAUCGGCCACACUGGAACUGAGACACGGUCCAGACUCCUACGGGAGGCAGCAGUAGGGAAUCUUCCGCAAUGGGCGAAAGCCUGACGGAGCAACGCCGCGUGAGUGAUGAAGGUCUUCGGAUCGUAAAGCUCUGUUGUUAGGGAAGAACAAAUGUGUAAGUAACUGUGCACAUCUUGACGGUACCUAACCAGAAAGCCACGGCUAACUACGUGCCAGCAGCCGCGGUAAUACGUAGGUGGCAAGCGUUAUCCGGAAUUAUUGGGCGUAAAGCGCGCGUAGGCGGUUUUUUAAGUCUGAUGUGAAAGCCCACGGCUCAACCGUGGAGGGUCAUUGGAAACUGGAAAACUUGAGUGCAGAAGAGGAAAGUGGAAUUCCAUGUGUAGCGGUGAAAUGCGCAGAGAUAUGGAGGAACACCAGUGGCGAAGGCGGCUUUCUGGUCUGUAACUGACGCUGAUGUGCGAAAGCGUGGGGAUCAAACAGGAUUAGAUACCCUGGUAGUCCACGCCGUAACGAUGAGUGCUAAGUGUUAGGGGGUUUCCGCCCCUUAGUGCUGCAGCUAACGCAUUAAGCACUCCGCCUGGGGAGUACGGUCGCAAGACUGAAACUCAAAGGAAUUGACGGGGACCCGCACAAGCGGUGGAGCAUGUGGUUUAAUUCGAAGCAACGCGAAGAACCUUACCAAAUCUUGACAUCUUUUGACCACUCUAGAGAUAGAGUUUUCCCUCUUCGGAGGACAAAAUGACAGGUGGUGCAUGGUUGUCGUCAGCUCGUGUCGUGAGAUGUUGGGUUAAGUCCCGCAACGAGCGCAACCCUUGAGCUUAGUUGCCAUCAUUAAGUUGGGCACUCUAAGUUGACUGCCGGUGACAAACCGGAGGAAGGUGGGGAUGACGUCAAAUCAUCAUGCCCCUUAUGAUUUGGGCUACACACGUGCUACAAUGGACAAUACAAAGGGCAGCGAAACCGCGAGGUCAAGCAAAUCCCAUAAAGUUGUUCUCAGUUCGGAUUGUAGUCUGCAACUCGACUACAUGAAGCUGGAAUCGCUAGUAAUCGUAGAUCAGCAUGCUACGGUGAAUACGUUCCCGGGUCUUGUACACACCGCCCGUCACACCACGAGAGUUUGUAACACCCGAAGCCGGUGGAGUAACCAUUUGGAGCUAGCC